ACACAUCAUUUGCGACAGUAGAUUGUUAGUGUCUGCAUAGGUGCCUAUCGAGACAUCAAACUUCAAAAUAUCAAGAUUUACACAAAAAUUUCAGACUAUUACCACACUGAAAAAUAAAUGCCUUUAUAUUACCUAAUUAACGACACUAAUCAGUGCCUUGGCUAGAUUAACGUUUUUCUUUUCAAAAAGAUACUAACUCUAAAAUAUGAUAAGUUUAUUUUCUUUAUAUUAAUUAUUUAAAAAAAUGUUACUAUAAGAGAAAAAACCAUUAUCUGUAAGGCAACAUUUAUCACUAACUUUUUUUAUUUUUUGUUUUAAAACUUUCCCCUUUCUCACUUUCAAUUUUUAUGUUAUUAAAAAAAGAAAAAUUGAAAACUUCAAAUCUUUCACCCACUUCUCCCCACCGUGAACAAAAAAACUCCCUCUGAAAAUGGAGCAAGCAGUUUUUCGUCCCUUCCUUCAAUUCUUCCAACGAUGUGAAUAAUCGACCGUACUCCUAUCAUAUAUCGAGAACCGCCAUAGUAGAGCACCGUGAGCUGCCACUAUUUUUCUCGUACCCGCCGCCGUUCGAAGUUAUAUUUGCAGUUCUAUAGGUAUUUGUUGAGAGGUAUCAAAUUAAAAUUUCCAUUCAAAUUGGAUUGGAUCAGCGAUUCCAGUUGUUCAACAACUUCAACUCCGACGACUUUUACUGAAUUCCGUUACGUGAGUAUUAAUUUCUAAUGCUAUUUGGUGAGCUCAAAUUCUCCCUAUAAUUUCCUUUUCUCCUAGCUAUGUUUUGGUGUUUGUUGUUAGUGAUAUCUCUUUUAUCAUAAGAGAACUAAGAUUUAAGCAUAUUUAAAUUACUAAUAUAUUAUUUUAUGGUAUCAUCCUUUUUACUAUUUAGAUUUUUGAUGUUGAUACUAUUUAGAAAGUUGAAGUAUGGUAUGAAUUCUUAGAGAAAUUAUAUUGUUUAGGUGAAAUAAAUGUGGUUUUUGGUAAUGAUGUUGAAAUGAAUUGCAAAGCUACCAAUGUCAUGUAUUAUUAUCUAGAGUAAUAUAUUGACAAUAAUAUUUUAUUUUUCAACUUCAGUUUGCUACAAUGGACAAUCGAGUGACAUGCACAAGUGUUUCUUUUCCAGAUUUUCAAUUUGAUAAAUAUUUCAAAGCAGGGUAUUGCAAAAAUGUGGUAAUAUUUAAAGAGAAAAGAAAGGUAACCAUCAAGAUAUAUUUUUAUUUUCUCUAUACAUUAUUGUGAUGAUAAUUUACUGUUUGUAUGCAGUUCAUCCUACAGCAGCAGCAGCAGAGUGUGUUGUUUCUAUAAGUACGUGAAUCUUUAUUCUUUAGUUGAUCAAACAUUCACUUGGUAUUAUAUAUUCUCAAUAGUUUUUUUCACUUGAUCUUUUGAUGAACCUUUGCCUCACAUUCUCCUAGUACUAGUACAACAUAACGGCUCACUUGUAUCUCUGUUUAAAUUUCUGCUUGUGAUUCUUUAAUUCUAUGAACUGAUGAUUGCCAAGAGUAUGUUCUUUGAUCUUUUGAGGCAAUAGAAGCAUGAAAUGAUUGGACUUGCAAAGCAGAAAAAUAUAUAUCUAACCUUUGUGCUGCAAAAACUCUAAAUCUAAAUCUUAACUCUAACCAGAAAUCUAAUAAUCAGGCAUUCGGUUUUUUUUAGAAAUUUCCUCCAAUUUUGGUCUAUGAUCUACAUAGGCAAAGAGCUCUCUAUCUACUCCAGCGUUAUUUGUGUGUCCAGUAAGUAUCAAUCUUAAACUCAUCUUUGAAGCUCAUUUUUCUCAUUCUUCGAACAUUUGAUCUUGUUUGUGUUGAAACAUUUGACUGUAGGUGCAAUUAUGCCUACUGCCACCCCAAAAGACUAGAGCAAUAACACCCCAUACAUGAAAGCAGCUAUAUUGAUUCAAUUGUAGUUCAUCACCAGAUCUCAACUUGUACGCGAAUGAGGGUAUUGAGCAUAGAAAUUAUGCUUGAAGAAAUGCAGGUAAUGGAGCGUGCAAUCACAAAUGGAGUGCUACUAGCUUUGGGAGAAUAGAAGAACAACACCUGCUACUAUUUAGUAGUUUUUGUAGCAUGAUAAUUAUAUGUCAUGCGCUUUAGCUAUUUUAUCAAAAGAUUGGUUAGGUUUUGUCCUAUUUAGAAUGCGAAUAAUAGUUCAUGGAGUUUUAUUUUUUUGUUUUUGGAUUACCUUUUUUAUUGAUAUGACUAUGUAAUUAAUUUUCUUUUUAGAUUUGAAAUAAAUAGAAAUAUUUCAUUUC
This is a long non-coding RNA of Salvia miltiorrhiza (redroot sage), 2245 nucleotides long. RefSeq lists it as uncharacterized. The transcript is spliced from 2 exons. NCBI's taxonomy places the organism in Eukaryota, Viridiplantae, Streptophyta, Magnoliopsida, Lamiales, Lamiaceae. The record is from RefSeq and is a predicted model, not a curated record.